CCUACGGGAGGCAGCAGUGAGGAAUAUUGGUCAAUGGGCUUACGCCUGAACCAGCCAAGUCGCGUGAGGGAAGACUGCCCUAUGGGUUGUAAACCUCUUUUGUCCGGGAGCAAUUGGCGCUACGUGUAGCGUUAUCGAGAGUCCCUGAAGAAAAAGCAUCGGAUAACUCCGUGCCAGCAGCCACGGUAAUCCGGAGGAUGCGAGCGUUAUCCGUUUUUAUGGGGUUAAAGGGGGGCGUGGGCGUAAUGCCAAGUUAGCGUGAAAAGCGCGGGGCCCACCCUGGCGCGGCCGUGGAAACUGGCGUUCUUGAGUGGGCGGGAAGUAUGCGGAAUGCGUGGUGUAGCGGUGAAAUGCAUAGAUAUCACGAAGAACUCCGAUUGCGAAGGCAGCAUACUGGCGCCCAACUGACGCUGAAGCACGAAAGCGUGGGUAUCGAACAGGAUUAGAUACCCUAGUAGUC
This 460-nucleotide ribosomal RNA is filed under the name uncultured bacterium. RNAcentral's name for it is "partial 16S ribosomal RNA". It matches the Rfam family "Bacterial small subunit ribosomal RNA", at positions 338 to 795 of the family's 1533-position model. The record is from RNAcentral.